This 141-nucleotide small nuclear RNA is filed under the name Prolemur simus (greater bamboo lemur). RNAcentral describes it as "U4 spliceosomal RNA (ENSPSMG00000018625.1)". It matches the Rfam family "U4 spliceosomal RNA". Rfam says of the family: U4 small nuclear RNA (U4 snRNA) is a component of the major U2-dependent spliceosome. The structure of U4 snRNA from yeast and human has been reported. The record is from Rfam by way of RNAcentral. Lineage: Eukaryota; Metazoa; Chordata; Mammalia; Primates; Lemuridae.
AGCUUUGCGCAGUGGCAGUAUUGUAGCCAAUGAGGUUUAUCCAAGGCGCCAUUAUUGCUAAUUGAAAACUUUUCCCAAUACCUGGCCAUGACGACUUGAAAUAUAGUCGGCAUUGGCACUUUUUGACAGUCUCUAUGGAGA